GCUGCUACAAGAAUUAUGCCUUAACUUGAUGGACAGUGAUUUUCAAAGACCUUUCAGAGUUUUCUGAUGCCCUUUCCUGAGUGCUGCUCCAUGGUCCAACAGAGCCCCUGACCAGCCUCUUUGAAAGAAAGCUCUCUGAUGCACAACUUUUCCUAGCAGUAGAUCAAGAAUGAUGCUAAGUCCACUGCUACCAGUAUGGCUCAGUCAAAAAGAUGAGAAAUGCUUCAACAUCAAUCAAUAC
Lemur catta (Ring-tailed lemur) is the source of this 241-nucleotide long non-coding RNA. RefSeq lists it as uncharacterized. Lineage: Eukaryota; Metazoa; Chordata; Mammalia; Primates; Lemuridae. The record is from RefSeq and is a predicted model, not a curated record. The transcript is spliced from 3 exons.